UCAGUCGACUCCUACGGGGAGCAGCAGUGGGAAUAUUGCGCAAUGGGGGCAACCCUGACGCAGCCAUGCCGCGUGAAUGAAGAAGGCCUUCGGGUUGUAAAGUUCUUUCGGUGAUGAGGAAGGGAGUUAUGUUAAUAGCAUAAUUCAUUGACGUUAGUCACAGAAGAAGCACCGGCUAACUCCGUGCCAGCAGCCGCGGUAAUACGGAGGGUGCGAGCGUUAAUCGGAAUAACUGGGCGUAAAGGGGCACGCAGGCGGUGACUUAAGUGAGGUGUGAAAUCCCCGGGCUUAACCUGGGAAUUGCAUUUCAGACUGGGUCGCUAGAGUACUUUAGGGAGGGGUAGAAUUCCACGUGUAGCGGUGAAAUGCGUAGAGAUGUGGAGGAAUACCGAAGGCGAAGGCAGCCCUUGGAAUGUACUGACGCUCAUGUGCGAAAGCGUGGGGAGCAAACAGGAUUAGAUACCCUGGUAG
Molecule: ribosomal RNA, 471 nt
Filed under: uncultured bacterium
Lineage: Bacteria
Description: bacterial SSU rRNA
Rfam family: Bacterial small subunit ribosomal RNA
Source: RNAcentral